CCUACGGGAUGCACCAGUGGGGAAUUUUGGACAAUGGGCGAAAGCCUGAUCCAGCAAUGCCGCGUGCAGGAUGAAGGCCCUCGGGUUGUAAACUGCUUUUGUAUGGAACGAAAAGCCUGGGGCUAAUAUCCUCGGGUCAUGACGGUACCGUAAGAAUAAGCACCGGCUAACUACGAGCCAGCAGCCGCGGUAAUACGUAGGGUGCAAGCGUCAAUCGGAAUUACUGGGCGUAAAGCGUGCGCAGGCGGUUUUGUAAGACAGUGGUGAAAUCCCCGGGCUCAACCUGGGAACUGCCAUUGUGACUGCAAGGCUAGAGUGCGGCAGAGGGGGAUGGAAUUCCGCGUGUAGCAGUGAAAUGCGUAGAUAUGCGGAGGAACACCGAUGGCGAAGGCAAUCCCCUGGGCCUGCACUGACGCUCAUGCACGAAAGCGUGGGGAGCAAACAGGAUUAGAUACCCCCGUAGUC
This 465-nucleotide ribosomal RNA is filed under the name uncultured bacterium. Its description in RNAcentral is "bacterial SSU rRNA". It matches the Rfam family "Bacterial small subunit ribosomal RNA", at positions 338 to 795 of the family's 1533-position model. The record is from RNAcentral.